GUAACAAGGUCUCCGUUGGUGAACCAGCGGAGGGAUCAUUACAGAGUUACUACUCCAAAACCCAUUGUGAACCUUACCUAUGUUCUGUUGCCUCGGCGGCGUGGUCAGCGCCCCCUCUGAAAAGAGGACGAUGCCCUCCCGCCGGCAGCACCAAACUCUUGAAUUUUACAGCGGAUUACAGUUCUGAUUUGAAAAGAAAAAACAAGUUAAAACUUUCAACAACGGAUCUCUUGGUUCUGGCAUCGAUGAAGAACGCAGCGAAAUGCGAUAAGUAAUGUGAAUUGCAGAAUUCAGUGAAUCAUCGAAUCUUUGAACGCACAUUGCGCCCGGCAGUAAUCUGCCGGGCAUGCCUGUCCGAGCGUCAUUUCAACCCUCGAACCUCCGUUUCCUCAGGGAAGCUCAGGGUCGGUGUUGGGGCGCUACGGCGAGUCUUCGCGACCCUCCGUAGGCCCUGAAAUACAGUGGCGGUCCCGCCGCGGUUGCCUUCUGCGUAGUAAGUCUCUUUUGCAAGCUCGCAUUGGGUCCCGGCGGAGGCCUGCCGUCAAACCACCUAUAACUCCAGAUGGUUUGACCUCGGAUCAGGUAGGGUUACCCGCUGAACUUAAGCAUAUCAAUAA
Molecule: unclassified non-coding RNA, 617 nt
Filed under: Scedosporium boydii
Lineage: Eukaryota; Fungi; Ascomycota; Sordariomycetes; Microascales; Microascaceae
Description: sequence contains 18S rRNA gene, ITS1, 5.8S rRNA gene, ITS2, 28S rRNA gene
Rfam family: 5.8S ribosomal RNA (bases 211-364)
Source: RNAcentral